This 492-nucleotide ribosomal RNA is filed under the name uncultured bacterium. Its description in RNAcentral is "partial 16S ribosomal RNA". It matches the Rfam family "Bacterial small subunit ribosomal RNA", at positions 29 to 507 of the family's 1533-position model. The record is from RNAcentral.
AGUGAACGCUGGCGGUAGGCCUAACACAUGCAAGUCGAACGGCGGCACAGUAAGAGCUUGCUAUUACGGGUGGCGAGUGGCGGACGGGUGAGGAAUACAUCGGAAUCUACUUUUUCGUGGGGGAUAACGUAGGGAAACUUACGCUAAUACCUCAUAAGACCUACGGGUGAAAUCAGGGGAUCUUCGGACCUUGCCCGAAUGAAUGAAUCGAUGUCGGAUUAGCUAGUUGGCGGGGUAAAGGCCGACCAAGGCGACGAUCCGUAGCUAGUCUGACUGGAUGACGAGCCAAACUGGAACUGAGACACGGUCCAGACUCCUCCGGGAGGAAGCGGUGGGGAAUAUUGGACAAUGGGCGAAAGCCUGAUGCAGCCCUACCGCGUGGGUGAAGAAGGCCUUCGGGUUGUAAACCCCUUUUGUUGGGAAAGACAAUCAGCAGGUUAAUAACCCGCUGUUCUGACGGUACCCAAAGAAUAAGCAACGGCUAACUUCGUG